AACGAACGCUGGCGGCAUGCCUAACACAUGCAAGUCGAACGAGACCUUCGGGUCUAGUGGCGCAUGGGUGCGUAACGCGUGGGAACCUGCCCUUAGGUUCGGAAUAACUCCCCGAAAGGGGUGCUAAUACCGGAUAAUGUCUUCGGACCAAAGAUUUAUCGCCUUUGGAUGGGCCCGCGUUGGAUUAGCUAGUUGGUAGGGUAAAAGCCUACCAAGGCGACGAUCCAUAGCUGGUCUGAGAGGAUGAUCAGCCACACUGGGACUGAGACACGGCCCAGACUCCUACGGGAGGCAGCAGUAGGGAAUAUUGGACAAUGGGCGAAAGCCUGAUCCAGCAAUGCCGCGUGAGUGAUGAAGGCCUUAGGGUUGUAAAGCUCUUUUACCCGGGAUGAUAAUGACAGUACCGGGAGAAUAAGCUCCGGCUAACUCCGUG
This 433-nucleotide ribosomal RNA is filed under the name uncultured bacterium. RNAcentral describes it as "partial 16S ribosomal RNA". It matches the Rfam family "Bacterial small subunit ribosomal RNA", at positions 29 to 507 of the family's 1533-position model. The record is from RNAcentral.